CGAUAACUAUGAAGUAUCUUUUUCCUUAACCGUGCAUAAUGGUACUUCAAAAUUCGCGAUACCCGCAAUACGACGAUAUAUUGUGCGCGUCCAUAUUGGGCAUUCGACGAUCACGUGACUCACUCCUCUUUCGACUACCAAAACGAUUCGCGCCCACUACAAUUUUCAACAGAUGUGAUUUUAAUCAUCAACUCCGUAUGAAACAAUCUGUAUAUGUAAUAUCAAUUUAUUAUUUUUUUUUUCCUUUUUUUUAAUAACGAUCCAAAUAUACCUGUCGUUGCCAUUCG
Molecule: long non-coding RNA, 287 nt
Organism: Vespula pensylvanica (western yellowjacket)
Lineage: Eukaryota; Metazoa; Arthropoda; Insecta; Hymenoptera; Vespidae
Exons: 2
Source: RefSeq, a predicted model, not a curated record